AUACGUAGGGGGCGAGCGUUGUCCGGAAUGAUUGGGCGUAAAGGGCGCGUAGGCGGCCCGGUAAGUCUGGAGUGAAAGUCCUGUUUUUAAGAUGGGAAUUGCUUUGGAUACUGUCGGGCUUGAGUGCAGGAGAGGUAAGUGGAAUUCCCAGUGUAGCGGUGAAAUGCGUAGAGAUUGGGAGGAACACCAGUGGCGAAGGCGACUUACUGGACUGUAACUGACGCUGAGGCGCGAAAGUGUGGGGAGCAAACAGGAUUAGAUACCCUGGUAGUCCACACUGUAAACGAUGAAUGCUAGGUGUAGGGGGUAUCGACCCCUUCUGUGCCGCAGUCAACACAAUAAGCAUUCCGCCUGGGGAGUACGGCCGCGAGGUUGAAACUCAAAGGAAUUGACGGGG
This 397-nucleotide ribosomal RNA is filed under the name uncultured bacterium. Its description in RNAcentral is "partial 16S ribosomal RNA". It matches the Rfam family "Bacterial small subunit ribosomal RNA", at positions 523 to 918 of the family's 1533-position model. The record is from RNAcentral.